Molecule: transfer RNA, 75 nt
Filed under: Nitrospira bacterium SG8_3
Lineage: Bacteria; Pseudomonadati; Nitrospirota; Nitrospiria
Also listed under: 6 other names
Description: tRNA-Val
Rfam family: tRNA
About the family: Transfer RNA (tRNA) molecules are approximately 80 nucleotides in length. Their secondary structure includes four short double-helical elements and three loops (D, anti-codon, and T loops).
Source: RNAcentral
GGGCGGGUAGCUCAGCGGGAGAGCAUCGGCCUUACAAGCCGGGGGUCGCAGGUUCAAAUCCUGUUCCGCCCACCA